This 173-nucleotide unclassified non-coding RNA is filed under the name Paraclostridium bifermentans. RNAcentral describes it as "partial 16S-23S ribosomal RNA intergenic spacer". The record is from RNAcentral. Lineage: Bacteria; Bacillati; Bacillota; Clostridia; Peptostreptococcales; Peptostreptococcaceae.
UCGGAAGGUGCGGCUGGAUCACCUCCUUUCUAAGGAGUAAUUGCCUACUGUUUAAUUUUGAGAGCUUAUUGUUCUCAAAAUUAGUACUUUGAAAACUGCAUAACAUUUAGUGAUGAUUAAAUAAACCAAUAUAAGAGAAGAAAACUCUUUAAAAAAUAACACUUUUAAUAACU